AUACGGAGGAUGCGAGCGUUAUCCGGAUUUAUUGGGUUUAAAGGGAGCGUAGGUGGGAUAUUAAGUCAGCUGUGAAAGUUUGGGGCUCAACCUUAAAAUUGCAGUUGAUACUGGUUUCCUUGAGUACGGUAUAGGUGGGCGGAAUUCGUGGUGUAGCGGUGAAAUGCAUAGAUAUGACGAAGAACACCGAUUGCGUAGGCAGCUGACCAGACCGCAAAUGACGCUCAUGCACGAAAGUGCGGGGAUCGAACAGGAUUAGAUACCCUGGUAGUCCGCACAGUAAACGAUGAAUACUUGUUUUCGGCGAUAUAAUGUCGGAGGCAAAGCGAAAGCGAUAAGUAUUCCACCUGGGGAGUACGCCGGCAACGGUGAAACUCAAAUGAAUUGACGGGG
This 393-nucleotide ribosomal RNA is filed under the name uncultured bacterium. RNAcentral's name for it is "partial 16S ribosomal RNA". It matches the Rfam family "Bacterial small subunit ribosomal RNA", at positions 523 to 918 of the family's 1533-position model. The record is from RNAcentral.